UACGUAGGCAGCAAGCGUUGUUCGGAAUUACUGGGCGUAAAGAGUGUGUAGGCGGUGCUCUAAGUCUGUCGUGAAAUCUCCCGGCUUAACUGGGAGGGUGCGGCGGAAACUGGAGUGCUGGAGGGUGGGAGAGGAAAGCGGAAUUCCUGGUGUAGCGGUGAAAUGCGUAGAUAUCAGGAGGAACACCUGCGGUGUAGACAGCUUUCUGGACCACUUCUGACGCUGAGACACGAAAGCGUGGGUAGCAAACAGG
This 253-nucleotide ribosomal RNA is filed under the name uncultured bacterium. Its description in RNAcentral is "partial 16S ribosomal RNA". It matches the Rfam family "Bacterial small subunit ribosomal RNA", at positions 524 to 776 of the family's 1533-position model. The record is from RNAcentral.